Phalaenopsis equestris is the source of this 415-nucleotide long non-coding RNA. RefSeq lists it as uncharacterized. The record is from RefSeq and is a predicted model, not a curated record. The transcript is spliced from 3 exons. NCBI's taxonomy places the organism in Eukaryota, Viridiplantae, Streptophyta, Magnoliopsida, Asparagales, Orchidaceae.
CUCCCGAAUUCUCCUCCUGGAGCGAUCAGCGGCUCGACGGCGAAGGAUCCCGCAAUCCAUUAUUGUAGCAAGGGGCGAACGGUAGUUGUGAGAGAAAUUGGCAUCGAACUUGUGUCAGAAGCGUCAAAACUUAAUUUGCGAGCUUCCGUGAGAGCUUUCGCACAAUAUGAACGAAGGGGAAUGGAGUUUUGAGGUGUUAGGAAGAUUUGGGGAGAAAAUUAAGCGGUUAUUUACACGAGGCAGCGAGCUAGAGAUCAGCGUGUGGAAACUCCUCGUAAGGCUACUCCAUUAAGUCAGGCGAAGUAAUCUCGUGCUUAGUUUUAAAAAAUAACCUUAUGUAGAUUUUAUGUGAUUAUGAAAUCGACAUUGUUGUAUUAAAACUUCUUGCAUAACGUAGAUGAUUAUCUGCUUGGAA